RNAcentral lists this long non-coding RNA (1699 nucleotides) under Scleropages formosus (Asian bonytongue). Its description in RNAcentral is "lncRNA (ENSSFOG00015032978.1)". The record is from RNAcentral. Lineage: Eukaryota; Metazoa; Chordata; Actinopteri; Osteoglossiformes; Osteoglossidae.
GGUUUUUUUUAUUAAUUCCUAUUAAUUUCUGCUAUUGUUUAAAGAUUUUACUGACCAAAAUGUAUGAAAAGUGUUCAUUGCCUGGUGGGAGGGGGUGGUCAAGUAGGACACUGCUUUGGGCCUUCAAAUGUUGAGAAAUGGGCAUGACCAUGUCACAAACGCGGGUUUGAGACACACCACUCCAACGGGGUCACUGUUACGACACAGUUUGUGUCGAGUUAGACGCCAGCUCGUCGUCGAGAGCUCCACUGGAAGAUCCCCUUUUUCAGUGUUCUCGCCGACACGUGUCAGGUACACAGCGGCUCGCCCUGCUCAUCCCCACUCAUACGUGCACAUGCCUGCACGCUCCGACCCUGAAGCAGUCGGUGACACAGCACUCGCAUUCUUUUGCACUCUGACAAACACGCGGUGCUCCCCGCGCUCCCUCCUCUCCCUCCCGCCGGCCCGCCUCUCGCUCCAACUCCCUCUCCUCUUCCCCACGUUUGCACACGCGCAAAAAGCUUUGCACGGACACACAGCGCGCAGCAAAAGAUGUCCGAUUCGGAGAGCUCAGCCGCUGCCCCGACCGAGACCCCGGUCCCUGCUGCCUGUCAGGCCAUCAAGGCAGAUCUGGAUAAAUGCAUAAAGGAGAAUGGGGAGGAAGCAUGCAAAGAGCUGAUGGAGGCCUUCCAGGCCUGUCUGAAGACUGCGGGUGAAGCAUCCUGACGAGGAAGGACACCACCUUGGAGAUGUAAGUUUCCACUUUAGAUGGACCCUCUUUAAAGGAUGCAGCAACUGAAAUGCAGAUACAAAACAGGGCACCCAAAGAUGGUCACUAUAUACAGUCUAAAUAUCACUUCUCACACAUGUGAUACUGGGAUUUUUCAGAUGCAUGUCUCUAAAACACAGCAAGUUCAGGCUCCAGGUAGAAAGUAAAUCAAUGGUUCAGGAACCUAUGACUACGACUUCGAUGAAGUGAUGCGGGUGUUCCUGAGGGUUGCGAGAUUGUCUCAAAAAAAAUAUUACAGUAUUAUAAGGGGAUGACUCCACUGGCACAAUAUGAAGGAUUACCAAAGUAGUAAUUAAAGUAAAAAGGAAUAACUUUGGGUAAUAUAGCAUCUAUAUGCGCUUAAUAUUAUAAUGUUCAAGUUCGUUCAGUGCGGAGCCUAUUGUUGAGCAGCGUUCUUAUAGGAGAGCGAUGUUAUAGAUGAGUCUAUAAUUUUAGCAAACGGCGGAGCUCACCCACAAAAUUAAACAGUACCGUGGUAAACCCAGAAAGUCCCUGAUUGCGAGACAGUCAUUUUCAUGUAAAUUUUUUUCAUCCUGUUCAGUUCAAAACUCUUUUAAAAUCAUUAUGCGUUGGUAACAAUUCGAUUAAACUGAAUGGAUAAACACAGCGUAUGGAAGUGAUCGGUCAGUGAUACUGCAUGGAGCAGCAUUUCAGGUCACCAGGUCAGGAUAAAGCUGUACUCUGGGUCACCACCAAAACAGUUUGGGAACCACUGGCUACAUCUGAUGUGAGCAGUAAACAUAUAUUUAACUGAUCUGUCUCGUGGUUCUCAGUGAUCCAGGUUCACAAUUGAUGGACUAGGCAAUGUGAGAGUGACUUCAGUCUGACACUUCUCUCUUUCUCCAAGGUCCUCUGCUCCCUCAGCAUUCCCUUCUGCACACUGCACUGCACUGGAAUAAAUCACUUUUGGGACUGGGAAAGUGGGACCUA